GACAGCAGUAGCCGCGGGAAAACGUAGGGUGCAAGCGUUAAUCGGAAUUACUGGGCGUAAAGCGUGCGCAGGCGGUUUGUUAAGACAGAUGUGAAAUCCCCGGGCUUAACCUGGGAACUGCAUUUGUGACUGGCAAGCUAGAGUCUGGCAGAGGGGGGUGGAAUUCCGCGUGUAGCAGUGAAAUGCGUAGAUAUGCGGAGGAACACCGAUGGCGAAGGCAGCCCCCUGGUCCAUUACUGACGCUGAGGCGCGAUAGCGUGGGGAGCAAACAGGAUUAGAUACCCCGGUAGUCCCUGUCUCUUAUAC
RNAcentral lists this ribosomal RNA (306 nucleotides) under uncultured bacterium. RNAcentral describes it as "partial 16S ribosomal RNA". It matches the Rfam family "Bacterial small subunit ribosomal RNA", at positions 507 to 807 of the family's 1533-position model. The record is from RNAcentral.